AUGGAGAAGACUCGACGGGAGGAGCAAAGCAAGGAGGUGAGUCUUCUAAUGGUGCAAGCAAAGCGACCCGAGCUCCUCUCUCCUCCUGAGCGAGAAAAUGAAGGCUACCUCGAGAUCACAACUGUACCAAGUAUGCACGGGAGAUUCGGGAUGCGUGCAUGGCGGCGGCAGAUAGCUUGCACGUAUGGAUGGGAGAUUCCAAGUUUCACAAGCAUGCAACUAGGAAUGAGCAAGUCUCUUUUCUUUUUCAUCAAGCUUUGGUUGGAGCUAGCAACACCUACGGCACUAACCAUCUGCCGGUUACGUCCUCGAUCGACCGGGUUCUCCACCGCUAGCCCUUAUACUCCCUCGCCAUCGCUGGAGGAGGCCGCCGCCGGUCGAAACCCAUGA
This 390-nucleotide ribosomal RNA is filed under the name Triticum aestivum (bread wheat). RNAcentral's name for it is "partial small subunit ribosomal RNA". Lineage: Eukaryota; Viridiplantae; Streptophyta; Magnoliopsida; Poales; Poaceae. The record is from RNAcentral.